Molecule: long non-coding RNA, 726 nt
Filed under: Felis catus (domestic cat)
Lineage: Eukaryota; Metazoa; Chordata; Mammalia; Carnivora; Felidae
Description: lncRNA (ENSFCAG00000051826.1)
Source: RNAcentral
AUGCUGCUGCUUUGGAAAAAUGUCCUGUAUCGCAGGAGACAGCCGAUCCAGCUCUUGGCGGAGUUGCUGGGGCCUCUGUUUCUCUUCUUCAUCUGGUGGCUGUAUGCCACUCCCACCCCCGACUGGAGCAACAUGAGUGUAAGCCCCCCCCACCCCACCCACCCCCCGCCCAGGGACCAGGCCCUUUGCGGGGGAGAGGGGAGGCACUGGGUCACCCUAUCCACAGGGUCCCGUGAGCGUCAGAGAGCGCGAGUCUGCGUGAGCACUCUGUCCGCGAGGGUGCAGACACGAUGGGGGUGCAGGCAAAGCUCCCCACGCCCAACGUCCCCACAGGCCACUUCCCCAACAAGCCGCUGCCCUCGGCCGGCACCCUACCCGGCUCCAGGGUCUCAUCUGCAGCAUGAACGACACCUGCUUCCCGCAGUCCGCGCCCGCCAAGCAGCCAGGUGUCCUCAGCAACUUCAAGGACACCCUGUGAGCAAGCGGGGGUGGGUGCGGCAGCCACAGGCACGAGGGUGUCUGCCGAGCCUCCACCUGGUGCUCUCUCUGCCCCCAGCGUCCUCUGGCUCCUGGCAGAUGCCCACACCAUCCUUGGGGGUGGGGGACGAGAGCCCACAGGAUGCUGGCCAGCCUGGGAAGGCUAACGCCAAUGCUGAGAGCGGCGGGCGGGGCAGCCCGGCCUCUCCCAAGCGACCGGCUGCGGGACCGUCUGCCCCUGACCACUGA